Molecule: transfer RNA, 76 nt
Filed under: Nitrospira moscoviensis
Lineage: Bacteria; Pseudomonadati; Nitrospirota; Nitrospiria; Nitrospirales; Nitrospiraceae
Also listed under: 25 other names
Description: tRNA-Thr
Rfam family: tRNA
About the family: Transfer RNA (tRNA) molecules are approximately 80 nucleotides in length. Their secondary structure includes four short double-helical elements and three loops (D, anti-codon, and T loops). Further hydrogen bonds mediate the characteristic L-shaped molecular structure. tRNAs have two regions of fundamental functional importance: the anti-codon, which is responsible for specific mRNA codon recognition, and the 3' end, to which the tRNAs corresponding amino acid is attached (by aminoacyl-tRNA synthetases). tRNAs cope with the degeneracy of the genetic code in two manners: having more than one tRNA (with a specific anti-codon) for a particular amino acid; and 'wobble' base-pairing, i.e. permitting non-standard base-pairing at the 3rd anti-codon position.
Source: RNAcentral
GCCGGCGUAGCUCAGUUGGUAGAGCAGCGGUUUCGUAAACCGCAGGUCGCCCGUUCAAUCCGGGUCGCCGGCUCCA